GACGAACGCUGGCGGCGUGCUUAACACAUGCAAGUCGAACGGAAAGGCCCUGCUUUUGUGGGGUGCUCGAGUGGCGAACGGGUGAGUAACACGUGAGUAACCUGCCCUUGACUUUGGGAUAACGUCAGGAAACUGGGGCUAAUACCGGAUAGGAGCUCCUGCUGCAUGGUGGGGGUUGGAAAGUUUCGGCGGUUGGGGAUGGACUCGCGGCUUAUCAGCUUGUUGGUGGGGUAGUGGCUUACCAAGGCUUUGACGGGUAGCAGGCCUGAGAGGGUGACCGGCCACAUUGGGACUGAGAUACGGCCCAGACUCCUACGGGAGGCAGCAGUGGGGAAUAUUGCACAAUGGGCGGAAGCCUAAUGCAGCAACGCCGCGUGCGGGAUGACGGCCUUCGGGUUGUAAACCGCUUUCGCCUGUGACGAAGCGUGAGUGACGGUAAUGGGUAAAGAAGCACCGGCUAACUACGUG
Molecule: ribosomal RNA, 468 nt
Filed under: uncultured bacterium
Lineage: Bacteria
Description: partial 16S ribosomal RNA
Rfam family: Bacterial small subunit ribosomal RNA
Source: RNAcentral